Molecule: long non-coding RNA, 1617 nt
Filed under: Salmo salar (Atlantic salmon)
Lineage: Eukaryota; Metazoa; Chordata; Actinopteri; Salmoniformes; Salmonidae
Description: lncRNA (ENSSSAG00000089523.1, ENSSSAG00020083353.1, ENSSSAG00075011976.1)
Source: RNAcentral
ACCGUCAGUUAGCCUACCACACACAUACACGGUUAUAACAUGUUUUGUUGUGACUCAUUCUGUUGUAGUAAACUAUAGCCUAAUCAUAGGCCUAUUAUGGAAGUACAUUUCCUUGGAAAGAUAACUGACAGUGCUUCUCCACCCAUGCAUAGGCUAUAGCCUACUCUAUUUUGAGAUCACACUCGCACCUGAUCUCGCAGGUAUGGCUACUGAACUGGAAGCAGCAAGAAUGAUGACAGUGACACUGGCAUAGGCCUAUAGGAUAUAGCCUACCUUUUGGGAGGAUGACUUGCAGGCAGAGACAAAUGAAUGGGUAAUCAAUAUUUAUUGAAAAUGAAAAGGGGCAACGCUCGCUCACCAUAGUAGCCUAACCUAUGUGCGAGUUGUGUCUUUUUCCUUUUCAAUGAUGAUUAUAUUUUUGGAUUGCACUUCGACUCACGUUGGUUGAGCUCCCUCCAAUUCUUUCCAUUAACAAUAUUUAUUUACAGACUCUGUAGUAAACUGCAGUCUAAACAUAUUUACGUUAAUUUCAUAUUCAAGUUUACUGCCACUUGAUUCUCCGCCCAUGUAGGCAGCCUACUCUAUUUCAAUGAGACUACAUAUACUAGGCACAAGGGUUGCAAAGGGUCGGAAACUUUCCGGGAAAUUUUCCGGAAAUUGUCCAUGGGAAGUUAAGCCGUGGAAUUUAGGGAAUUGUGCUUAAAUCAUCAAAAAAGUUAGUUUAUAACAGUGAACCUUUUUUUGUGGGAUACACAUAAGGCAACUAUAGGUCUUGUGGCAUAUUUUGGUUAAACUAUCCCCAAUUCAAUGGAAUUGCAACCCUCUGCAUGCAUAGUGCAUUCUUCCAACACAUGUGCAGUGCACUCUUCCAUCACAUGUACAGCUGAUUCUCAAGAUCUUGCACAAUAAUGAGACGCUAUAGCCCACACUACUACAAUGUCUGAGCCAAGGACUACAUGCUUUCUGGAAAAUGCCACGGGCACUAUCUGAUGUGUGGAGACAUUUCACUGCAGCUAAUGUAGAAGGAAAAGCUGUGUACAUUUGCAAAUACUGUGGCAAAUCAUAUGUGAAGAAUGCAACAAAGAUGCAGAAUCAUCUGGCCAUGUGCAUAAAAUUCGCUCAGCGCUCACAACAAGCAACCUCUGACAAAAGUCCCUCUACUUCUAUUCGAGGGGAAAAUGAUGAAUCAGACACCUUAUCCAUAGCCACAGCUCAUGGUCCUCCUGGAAUCAGAAGCUUUUUUGACUCAAUGGAGGAACGUAGUCAGAGAAAUGCUGAUGGAAUAAUUACCUACAUCAUCUCCACCCCUCAACCAGUAUUCUACAAGAGCACAGACAGAAGGGACAACAGACACACUGGUCUCUACAUUGCAGAUGAGCUGAAGGCAGUCAUCAAUGACCUUGGACUACAGAAGGUAUUUGCACUGGUGACAGACAAUGCUGCGAACAUAAAGGCUGCUUGGUCUAAAGUGGAGGAGUCCUACUCUCACAUCACACCAAUUGGCUGUGCUGCUCAUGCAUUGAAGCUGCUCCUCAAGGACAUCAUGUUACUGAAAACAAUGGAUACCCUCUACAGGAGAGCAAGGGAAAUGCUUAGGUAUGUGAAGGGUCAUCAAGU